UCAGUCAUACAAAGGUGACUCGGGAUACGAGACGCGCAUAAAUCGACACAACAGACAUAGGACACGUUCGUUUUAGAAUUCUUGAAUCAUCCUGGGUGAAUGUCGGCUCGCGAAACUCUUCCAAAAUCAAUUAGUUUGCAAUUUAACGGAACCUUAAAAACACGCAAGUGCGCGGAGUGAGUGUGUGUGGUGGCUGCACAUACGAGAUUACAGAAGAUUCGCAGUGCUAAGAAAUGGGAUACAGUGAGGCAGGAAGAGGAAAUCAUUAGAGAUAACCGAGUGACGGACAGGGAUAAUACGUAUUGGUCCUGUGGAAGGUGUCUGUGAAGAGGGAUCGUCAGAAAUUUUGCAAGGAAGGCGGUUGACGCGCGAUAGUAGGUCGAAUCGCUCGUUCGGCGGCGCUCGGCCGCGGUCGGGUGUGCUCGGCACGCUCGAAUUCGAAGUUCGUGUCGUGGCGGUCGCGCGCUCAGCGGUCGGUCGGUCAGUCAGUCAGUCGCACGCGGCACACGAAAGCCUCGAGAAGUCGAGGGAGGUUCGAGAACCACGCGUGAAAACAGAACGAACGAUACGUAAGGAACAACACUGGACAAGGUGAAGGCAAGGAACGAUUCGGUGACUCGACGUAAACAAGACAGGCCCAGAGGACGAUUAGAAACGGGAUCGUGCGUUGCGCGUUUCAUUCGCGCGAAGAUACUGGAGCCGCUUUAGCGAACGGGUCGAUCUCUCCUCUCCAAUUCGAGAGAUCGACUGACCACCCUUCGAGGCAGCUCGCGGAGGCAGUAACCCUUGACGGAGACGGAGUUGCAGCUGUCAAAAGUGAGAUACUACGGGAGAACACCGGCAAAGACGAGAUGGUGUACGGAGGAGGCUUCGAUAUGGUGGAAACGAUGCCACAGACGGUGCCAUCCGCAGCCGGCUACUCGCCGUCGUUCGAUUACAGCACAUUCCAGUUCGAUUUGUCCCUUCUUUCGGACGAUUAUGUUACCGCGAACGCUCAGAAUACCUUGAAACCGACGCAAAUCAAACAGGAAGCACAAUCGCCGCGUCCUAGCUCGCCGAUCACUUACUCGAGUCCACCUUACCCCGGUGCGGGCGGCGAAUUGCCACUUUCCCCUAAUUACUCGCACGAGGGCUCGCCAGGAUACCCAACGAGUCCUUACUACGUUCCCAGGAGUCCUCAGAGCGCCCAGUUUUAUCCAACCAGCCCCGAACCGUCCGCCAAGCAACCAGUCAAGAGGGAGAAGAGUCUCGACCUACUCGCCAUCUUGCAGGAAUCAAGACUCCUGGCCGAGAGUCUGGGUUACCGUGAAGACUCGACCGACUGCACAGUACCGUGCACGCCACCCAGAACGGAAGAGGACAUCUACAACAGCCUUGACGCGGACUUCUUCGCGAAGAAAGAAGAUGCCGGAGUGCAGGGCCACCCGUUGUUGAAGGAAAUCCUGUUCAAGGAAGAGCCUCGGUCCAGUUGCAGCAGCAACAGCAGCAGCAGCAGUAGUAGCAGCAGCGUCAGCAGCAAUUCCUCCUCGUUGUCGUCGUCCUCGUCGACGACUUCCUCUUCUCCAGACCCCAUAGAGCUGGAGAACAGUUCGCCGCUGAGGAACUUGCUCUUCAAGGGCGCUCGAAAGGAUUUCGCGGACGUCGCGAGAACAAAUGUUCUGAAACUCGAGAGAAUACAGGACGAGGUCAGCAAUCCUCUGCAGAAGGAGGAGGAGCUCUUCAAGGACGGUCAGAAGAGCGAUCAUCAGUUGCUCAGGGAGGUUUUGAGGGACACGAGCUUUCAAAGGAAGUACAAUCUGAGACCCGUGGAUCUUGGUAGCGUUGGGACUGGGUUCGUGGAAGACAUGGAACCUGGCGAAUGCGUCGGAGACCUGACCAGAGAACAGAUCGAGCCUGUCCUGAGCCUGGCCAUUCAGCAGCUGCAGAAGGACUUUGAUAAUACCUGCGUGGCACUGGGCAUACAUCCAGAACCACGACGCUGGAGCGCAGCGGACGUAGCAGCCUGGAUACAAUGGGCCAGGAGGCAACUGCAGCUGCCCUCGGUGCCAUUGGAGAGCUUCAACGUCGACGGCGCAACGUUAACUUCCCUAACGGAGGAAGAGUUCUGUCAGAGAGCACCACAGUGCGGAAGCAUGCUGCACGCACAGCUGGAAAUUUGGAAGGCAGCGGUCGAGGAAUCCCCGAGGAAUACAUUGGCAGCUUCUUGGAGUCCUGCGGGUGUCGUACAAACCCCCAACAACAACAACAACAACAACAACACAACUGGAUCAGCUACUAUUGCAAAUGCAGCUCCUGCCAGUGUGAAAGGUUCUCCCUGCAAUAUUGACUUCUCCGAUGAUGACGACGUUAUUAAUUUAGCGAGUCUGGAUGAUUGAAGUAACGCACUUUGCGAGAUGUCAAGCCGCAGAAGAGGCCAAGGCAGGAAGGGUGGAAGGUGCAAACCGCCGAGUACACUCAAGCGACAGGUUUGCGGAGAAUUUUCUGAUGGCAUCCGAAACGGUAAAAGUUGUCCAGUAUAUCUGCGCGGGGUUAAUACGAGCCUAUAAAUCUUGACAUUGAUGGGAGUGAAAAUCGGGCCGCGAUUGUACAAUUUUGCUGAUCUAAGAGACGAGUAAUGCGUCUAACGGUUGAAUCGGCGACCGUUCGACGUGACAAAAGAGGCCAGUGCAGCUUUCAGAAAUGAAAUCACUCAGCAAUACGACAAUUCCGAAGAAGUAGAAGGUAGACUACACGACCGUGAUACAAUUAUGUAAAUUAAAGAAUUCUAAAGCUGGCCUAGUUCAUUCAUACCUAAACAAGGACACUCUUCUCGAAGGAAAGAUUUCUCGAUGAUCGAUCAAAAUAUCGACAUUUGUAUUCAAUUCGAUUCAUUCAAAAUGUAUAGUCAGUCAACACCGACGUAGUACAAAUCAGCAUCUAAUACACGAUAUUUCAAUUUUCCAUCUAUGCAGCGACGUUUCACUCGCCUUUAGCUACAUUUCAAAAUUCAAUAGUCACGUUCGAGCCACCAUCAGUCUUGCUUUAGCAACAGUUGUGCUUCCAAUAUCUACAUAUGAAUAAUGUAAAGGUAGGCAUUCCGAGCGAGUUCUAAAGAUGCACGUGCAACUUUGGUCGCGAGGAGAUAUAAGUGGCGUGAGUUUGCGCGUACAUGUAAUAGUCGCAAGAGCCUUGCACGAUUGAAAAGCGUGUCGGUCUGUUACAGUCAGCGAGAGAGUCUGUUGAGGAAUUGUCAGAGAUUCAGUAAGAAUAUAUAAAGGUUAAAAAGUUAGAAAGUCCUCUGGAAACAGAUGAGCCGAGGCAUUAGCCUAUAUUGCUCUUUAAGUUUUGCAAUUAUGACUGAAAAUGUGAUACAGCUGAGUAAUUACUAGCAAGAGACCGACGUUAUAUUUUUAACAUUUGUUUUUUUUUUUUUUUUUUGUUCAUUUGACGUUCUUUCAUCGCCACAUAUUAACGUUAUUUGCAUUUAACUUUAAUUUUAGUUGUUGGAAAUAUAUGUAUUUCAGCUGAGAUAAACCGUCUGUACGCUAGAUUAACCAAUUUAUUUAUAAGGAUUUUUAAUUAAAGAUAUGUUGCUCAAUGAAUCAACCAAUUCCCCAAAUUGUAAUUUUAUAUAUAAAAUGAAUACAUAAAAGUUAAAAAUUCAUGCAUUAUAUUAUAUUAUACAUAUUUUUAUUAUACUUUAAUUUUUAUUAUUAUAUUGCGAAUUAUACUUAAAAUUAUACAUAUUUCGAAGUAUUUUCUAAUACAAUUAUUCCACUAUCGAUUCAAGUAUAAGCAUCACACUGAGUGUACUCGAGGAGCUGCUCGCUUCCCGCAACGGAAUCGAGCAACAGGCCGCUAAAUUUUCUGCAAAACGUGGAAAAAGGGGGGCGUUCGAUCAGAGAUCGGCCGGUGUCGGUGGCGGCGCGAGGUGUCGAGGCACGACGUGCGAAUGCGAACAUAAAUCCAAAUUAGCGGCAACAUAACGCAACCGUGCCUCUAUCGGUGCUACGAUUCAGAGGGGUUUCUAUCUCGCUGCUGUUUCACGCCACGGCGAUCCGCGAAUGCCGGUAAAUCGUAAGUCGGAUUAUCGGCGAGCUCGAUCGGCCAAAGACGAGCGCUCGUUUCGCUGAUGUCGGCGUUCUCCAAGUGAGAAAACCCGAUACCGACGCGAUCUUCGCGCGUGUUUCUUCGAUUUCGCGAGAUCCUUCCUGGUUCCCCACCCGCGGACACAUAUUACUUCUUUUCGAUCACGAUACCGUGGAAUGAAGGAACUAUCCAUUCGAGAGUGGUGGAAGUACCAGGGAUAGGGUUUGAUUGGAAACUCCGACGACUGAGCUUCAGCUUUGUUUAUUUAAGCGUGUAAUUGUCACUUCAGUUAUUGGACUGAAUGCAUACAUUACAAUAUAAUUAUUUCCAUUUUUCUUAGCAUUACUUUGCCUUACAUAAUUCCUUAAUUUUGGGAUUAUUGUAACACAAUUCUGUAUAUUAUAUUGACAUUAAUCUUGUCUUUGGUAAUAGUCGGUAUAGAGACCAAUGACCCCCAACAGACAUAUAGAGGAAUGUAAUGUAAUGUAAGAAAUAAUGUAAACCAUGGUAAUGAUUGAAGAUAUGGAUUCAUCUAAAGCAAUGUAAAUGUGACAUGGAAUGAAAUAUACACAAGAAUAGUGAUUUGUAACAAACAAGACUGGAUUAAU
Molecule: RNA transcript, 4676 nt
Organism: Hylaeus anthracinus
Lineage: Eukaryota; Metazoa; Arthropoda; Insecta; Hymenoptera; Colletidae
Gene: Ets98B
Gene name: DNA-binding protein D-ETS-4
Exons: 8
Source: RefSeq, a predicted model, not a curated record